AGUCGAACGAUGAUCCGGUGCUUGCGCCGGGGAUUAGUGGCGAACGGGUGAGUAACACGUGAGUAACCUGCCCUUGACUCUGGGAUAAGCCUGGGAAACUGGGUCUAAUACCGGAUAUGACUGCUCCGCGCAUGCGGUGGUGGUGGAAAGCUUUUGCGGAUUUGGAUGGACUCGCGGCCUAUCAGCUUGUUGGUGGGGUAAUGGCCUACCAAGGCGACGACGGGUAGCCGGCCUGAGAGGGUGACCGGCCACACUGGGACUGAGACACGGCCCAGACUCCUACGGGAGGCAGCAGUGGGGAAUAUUGCACAAUGGGCGGAAGCCUGAUGCAGCGACGCCGCGUGAGGGAUGACGGCAUUCGGGUUGUAAACCUCUUUCAGUAGGGAAGAAGCGAAAGUGACGGUACCUGCAGAAGAAGCGCCGGCUAACUACGUGCCAGCAGCCGCGGUAAUACGUAGGGCGCAAGCGUUAUCCGGAAUUAUUGGGCGUAAAGAGCUCGUAGGCGGUUUGUCGCGUCUGCUGUGAAAGACCGGGGCUCAACUCCGGUUCUGCAGUGGGUACGGGCAGACUAGAGUGAUGUAGGGGAGACUGGAAUUCCUGGUGUAGCGGUGAAAUGCGCAGAUAUCAGGAGGAACACCGAUGGCGAAGGCAGGUCUCUGGGCAUUAACUGACGCUGAGGAGCGAAAGCAUGGGGAGCGAACAGGAUUAGAUACCCUGGUAGUCCAUGCCGUAAACGUUGGGCACUAGGUGUGGGGGACAUUCCACGUUUUCCGCGCCGUAGCUAACGCAUUAAGUGCCCCGCCUGGGGAGUACGGCCGCAAGGCUAAAACUCAAAGGAAUUGACGGGGGCCCGCACAAGCGGCGGAGCAUGCGGAUUAAUUCGAUGCAACGCGAAGAACCUUACCAAGGCUUGACAUGAACCGGUAACGCCUGGAAACAGGUGCCCCGCUUGCGGUCGGUUUACAGGUGGUGCAUGGUUGUCGUCAGCUCGUGUCGUGAGAUGUUGGGUUAAGUCCCGCAACGAGCGCAACCCUCGUUCUAUGUUGCCAGCGCGUUCGGCCGGGGACUCAUAGGAGACUGCCGGGGUCAACUCGGAGGAAGGUGGGGACGACGUCAAAUCAUCAUGCCCCUUAUGUCUUGGGCUUCACGCAUGCUACAAUGGCCGGUACAAAGGGUUGCGAUACUGUGAGGUGGAGCUAAUCCCAAAAAGCCGGUCUCAGUUCGGAUUGGGGUCUGCAACUCGACCCCAUGAAGUCGGAGUCGCUAGUAAUCGCAGAUCAGCAACGCUGCGGUGAAUACGUUCCCG
RNAcentral lists this ribosomal RNA (1306 nucleotides) under Arthrobacter ramosus. Its description in RNAcentral is "bacterial SSU rRNA". It matches the Rfam family "Bacterial small subunit ribosomal RNA", at positions 60 to 1376 of the family's 1533-position model. Lineage: Bacteria; Bacillati; Actinomycetota; Actinomycetes; Micrococcales; Micrococcaceae. The record is from RNAcentral.